CUUGAACGCACCAUUGUACGUGCGCUAGCCUUCUCCCACUGCACAGUUUGUCAACUAUGUCAACUUUUUAUCAGGUUUUUUUCACUUCCUAUUUGCUCCCAAAUGCUGAUACUCUGUGGGAAUGCCUAAAGCACUGAAUCCAAAGUCAUCUACACUCUGAUCAAGAGUUUUGUAAGAGCCGAAUGACCUGCACUUGACACCCUAGGGAUUCAUUUGUGGUCAUCAAAAAUCUAACCUGAAAGUUAAGUGAAAUUAUCUUUCAAAUAAAUGUCAAUGUGCAUGUUAAUAUCUGUGCAAAAGGCGUAUAUAAAUGCAUUUCCAAGCUGCGCUGUUUCCCUUCACUAUUUAAACAGUGCAAAAGCUCAUAAAGAACACUACGGGAUACUGGAAAAUCAAAGAUGCUAUGUCAGAGGGGGUGGGUAUACUGGAUUGAUUGUUCAGACUUCAAACAUGGAAAUAAUUUUCAUAUGUAAUUUAGCUGGAGUUUAAAUGGAAACGGUCGCUAGAUUGCACUGGAAACCAAAUCAGAUGCAUAUGUACCAUUUGACUGCAACGAUUCAAAGAUGCUUUGCUGCUUUAUUAAAAGACAUCAUGCGGAGAUGCACAUAAGUGAUCUAAUGAACGUAAAACAGCUCAAACAUAAGUUGUUGUGGGUAUUCUGCGAAGCGAUUUUAGUGGGUUAGCAAGCUGUGUUUGAGUGGAAAGCCCGACUUACGUGUUCAGCAAAAGUAGCUCUAUCAACAUGGUAACUAAAGUUAGGCCAGGUCCAGGCUUUCAGCUUAAAACAGGCUAUGAAAGUGCCACUGUUUAACUAAUUCAGAGAUGGCAUCACCAUUUAUUGACAACCUACGAGGUUCCCGAGAGGAUGAAAUGUACAUUUUUUUUGUUUUUUUUUAAUUGUACAUCUAAAUGCCAUCAAGUGCUCAACAGAUUUACUCUGCCAGGGAGAAGUGUGAUAUACAAUUCCCCUGUUAUACAGAAUUUAUUUGACUUUGAUGCUUGUUAUUAAGCAAACUUGGAGCGACCGGGCCGGAGCAGGAGGGGACAGAGAAGAAGAGAAAAGAUAAAGGAUGAAAUAUUAAUAACAUGAAUUAAUUAAUGACGUAAAUGUCACAGGAGUCCUUGCGUGAGUACUCAGCCCGUUAGUUUUCUUAUAUUGCAAUAUUUGCUGGAGGAAUAAACACUCAGAGGCACCAAUCAACUGCGUUAAAAAACAUGUUUUAUUAUAAAAAGGGAAAAAAAAUAAAACACGUCUCACCCAAAACACUGCCAUCUGGUGGUCACAGCGAGAUACAGCAGAUUAAAAUAUUUAAUGAAUUUACAGUAUGUCAUCAAAAACGAAAGUUGUUGCUCCAGUGUAUUUAUUUUUUAAUUGGAUAAGUGUUAAUGUGUCACGGCGCAAUCUUUUGGGAACUCCUCAUAACGCUCCCUAAUAAUUCCAUACUCCUUUUUUGUAAAAUACGCUGGGUGGUAUCUCUUCACUUUUCAGGGGAAGUAGAAUAAUAUGACGUCAAACGUCCCCUUUCAUGUGAACUCAUUUAGCACAAAGCCGAAAACCGGACUUGACAGGGUAAGUUGAUAACCAGUUAAGGCGGUAUACGGCGAAAGUGACUGAACAAACCAAGGCUUUGUGCUCAAGAUGCGACUCGACAAAACCAAAAAUCCGCAACCAGACUUAACUGGUCCCGCGUGACGGUGGUUAUCAACUGACAUUCAUACUUUUUCCUAGCCACAGUGCUACGCUUUAAAGGGUGAACCAAAUUAAAUUUUUGGGGAUCAUAAUAGAUGAACAAAUAAGCUGGGAAUCUCACAUUAAAAAUAUACCACAUAAGGUGGCGAGAGAUACUUCAAUAUUGAAUAAAGCAAAGUUUGUCCUUGACCAAAAAUCACUCCAUACUCUACUGCUCUCUGGUGUUUUCAUAUCUAACUUAUUGUGUGAAGAUUUGGGCGUAAUAACUACAAACGCAAUCUUCACUCACUAAAUGUACUGCCAAAAAGAUCAGUUAGGAUAAAUCCUUUAAUUCUAGAGUCACAAAUAUUAAAAUUUGCCGAUCAUUUUCAAACAGCUAAAAUGAAGCACAAAGCAAACAAUAACCUGCUACCCAAAAACGUUCAUAAAAUACUUUUCUACAAGAGAGGAGAGAUAAGAUCUCAGGGGAAAAACUAAACUUAAGACACUUAUACGUGAGAAGAACGCUAAAAACCCACAGCAUUUCAGUAUGUGGAAUUAAAUGAAGGAACGACUUGAGUAAAGAAGUCAAACAAAGCACCAAGAUGAGCGAUUUCAAGAAACAGUACAAGCAACUGAUGUUUGCAAAAUACAAGAAAGAAAAGUCUUGACCUUAUGUUAUGUUUAAUUGUAUUUAUUAGUAUUUUUUUUAUUAUUAUGUACGAUUAUUAUUUAUUAUGAUUGUGGAAAAACCUUGACAAUUAUAUUACCAUAUUGUUACAUUACCUUAUCACUUUGCUAUGUAUUAAAAAGAUCACAUAUGAAAUACAGGAAGUGAAAAAAAACGGGUGGGGGGUAGGAUUAAAUAAGAUUUGCUUCUUCCUACUCCUUUUGGACAUGUGGAACUGUGUAUUGAAUUAUGUGACGUAUUCCAUUGUAGCUUGUAUGCACGUUCAAAUCAAAUGAAACCAUUACCAUUACCAGAUGUUGGACUUUGAUUGUGUGUCUCUGAGACCUGAAUAAAGACUUUAUUUUCAGCUGCACACACCACCGCCUCGCAUCUUGGGUUCCUAUCGGCACCAAGCGUGACAUAAGUGGCCAAUUAGCAUUUUUUAAACCAGUUUGCACACCGGCCCGAAACAUAAGAUGAUGUUCGCUGAAAACUCAAUAUAAGUCAUGCAGAAAAUUGUUAAUACACCCCUCAUUUAUCGCGGUUAAUUGGUUCCAGACCCGACAGUGAUAAGUGAACUUCCACAAAGUAGGCUUCAAUUAAAUAUAUGGAUCAUUUUUGUAGUUAGAGCAUAGAAAACCUGUUUAUGACUUUCUAAAUACAAUCUUUACCACUAUUAGAUCUUUGUAGACGUGAAAUAACGCCCCUGCAGUCACCUCUACACUCCUAUUAAUGUUUUACAUUAUGUUGCUCACCUGUAAUGCGCAGGCUACCGGAUCACUGCAGAGGAUCACUGCAGAGCCAUGGUCAAGUCUUUAACUAUUAUCAAGCUAGCGAGCUAACGAGCCUCCAAUUUAUUCACUGUAUUCUAAACCUAAAUGGUUUGAACAGAGUGGGGAAGAAGGACAAACAAGCUUACCACUUCCACACAGAAUGGGAGGAGAACUUCUUUUCACUCUAUCAUGUCGGACAUGCCAUGGCUGAUUUCGGGCAGUGUGUCUGUAAUCUAAUGUCAUGUGUAACGGGUUCACUUCACCAAAACACUUAAAGCAUUAUUGUUAGAUUUUGUAUGUUUAAAUAUGUUUAUGUACUAGUUUUGUGUGGUGCGAGUGUUGCGUCAGCGUGUGCUGGAACGUGGUGACGUAGUUACAUCGCGGUGGGCGCACGCGCGCGCUCGAGGUAAGAUGUGAAAUGUGCUCUUUCCGCGAAAGUUGCGUGAAAUGUGUUUGUAGAGUUGUUGUGCCGUGUCGUCGCAGACUGUGAUGUGUUGUAUAUUGCUUUGCGGAUGUCCGGUGAGAGUUUUCGCUGACGUGUUUAUUGUAUUGUGCACUUUAAAACUAUGGUCUGCUCACGAAGCGGAAGCUAGCUUCGCUAGCACGGGUCGGCUAGCGGCCGUCUCUUCAUGUCUGGACAUGUGCGAUGUCCUUAGGAUCUCUUUUUGAUUUCCAGGAGAACCAGGAAAUACGUGGAGGAGCACACAGCUCAUGUAUUGUAUGUUUCACACAGCAGAAAUGAAAGACAUCAAAGACCAUCAAGUCCUCCUUCUUCAUAACCCACCAGAACACAACACAGAGGAAAGUAAGGGCAGAAACCUAAGACGAGACCGCCGCAAGCAUCUCUUCUCUCCGGCCUACCAUCUGAGUGCACUCACUGAGUUGGAUCAUGCGGAGCGGUGUGAUUUUCUUCCUGGUCGUGGAAUUGUGGACCAAGUGCGUGGGAGUUUGCUCAACCAGUCCACAUGUGUUUUACGGACUUGGAGAAGGCAUUGGACUGUGUUUCUCGAGGAAUCCUGUGGGGAGAACUCGGGGAGAAUGGGGUACCGGACCGCCUAAUUCAGGCGGGUUGCUCCCUGUGUGACCGAUGUCGGAGCUUGAAAACCUGAUUUUUUUGUAUAUUUAUAUAUAUAUUUUGACGGUACUUUUCAUCCUUCCCGUUUUUCUCCGAGAAACUCUCAUAUCUCGCCCUUCUAAAUAGUUUCCCAUGUUCCAACUUGUAUCCAAAUCAAACACUCUUCGGUACUGCAGGUGACGAUGGUGAGGGUAUCCACACUUGAGCCACAGCAGCCUGCAAGGGCAAUUGUGCAGCGCAUUGGCAGCGGGCUGUCUGUUUUUUUCUGAGGAAUUUAAUAACAACUAGAGAAGCACUUGGAGAGCGCAGACCUCCAUAGUUCCGCCCCCAUAUUGUUAUUCACAUCAAAAUAAUAAUCCUACAUUUUUUGGAUCAGUCUUUGUUUUUUUAUAGAACCUAUUGGAAACUGUUGGAAAGUGCUCUGAUCAUUUUUUGUGGAGUUAUAUGCACAAAAGCCAAAAAUGGUCCCAUCUCGCAAUGUUUAAGAAUCCUUUCAAAAAAUUCCAGAUUCCAGAUCAUUCCCCAAAAUGUAAUCAGUUCUUCCACAUCACAUUUCCAACAACUCCUCAGUAACACACUGGUGGUGGCAAACUACAUCUGUAGGCACAGCUGCAGCUGGGUAGUCUUGACAGAAACGUGGCUGCCAAUUCGCGCGUGCGGCCUCUCCGACCACCACCGAACAUUCAUUCACAUUCAUACACCAGUGUGGGCAGCACUGGAGGUAAGGUGGGUGACGUGUCUUGCCCAGGGACACAACAACAGUGACUGGGUGGAGGGAGCCAGGAUCAAACCGGCAACCUUCCGAUUUCUGGAUGGCCUGAGACACUGCCGUCCCCUAAUUUCCCUUAUUUUCCGGAAAUGUCCUGUCAGGCUCUGAGGAGCGGUGUAAUUGGGUCCCAGGAUGCAGACACAGGAACGAAUCCAACAGUUCAAGAUUAUUUAACGAAAAACAUAGAUGAGGCAAAAAACAGGAACUCAGGACGACGGUGCAAAACGAAGAAGGGCACCGUGGUUGCAAAACCAAGGACUGCACUCAGCAACAAAGGAUAACUGGAUCUACCACGUGAGCUGGACGGAUGACUGGACUGCAGGACGGCCGAGAUGGUUGGAGUGGCGAGGCGAGCUGCAUCAGAAGGACAAAGGUGAGUGGUAGCAGGAGAGGUACACAUGGUCUGGAAGUGCAACCAUGGAGAAUAAUCCAGCGCUGGAUGGCUGCAGGUGAGGAGGCUAAAAAGGGUACUGAUUGGAAACAGCUGCAGGGAUCCAGUAGCCCAGCUCUGGAGGUGUCAGAAUCUGAACAAGCCAACAGAGGAGAAGUGAGCAACAACAUAAAAUAUAAAUGGAUAAAGCACACACUACAACAGGCGACUGAGAAGAGCGUGACAUGUCCCUUAUUUUCAAACGCCAAUGAUGACAGGUAUGAUUUACACUUUGAUUUUGUUUGAAAAAUAAUUUUCCAAAGAGGGGUCGUCUUAGAUCCAGGGUUAAACGAAUACCUCUGUGACAGUGUCAGUCCAAAUGGAUAUGAUCUAUGAUACCGCUCUUGUAUUGGAGAACAGUGUUCCCUCGUUUAUAGUGGGGGAUAGGUUCCCAAAAUAGACUGCAAUAAGUGAUGUUGCUAACUUCAUUUUUUACAAUGAUUAUAUAUGCAUUAAGGCUGUAAAACCCCUCAACAUACACUUUAUACACUUUUUCAGACAGCCAAUAACAUUUUCUCACAUUUCUCUCUUGUUUAAACACUCUCAAACCUUCAUUUGAAUUUUAAUGAUCAACCUACGAGGUUGGACACAAUCAAUUAUUAAGUAACUCUCCCGUAUUUCACUCAUCUGACCGUGCCCAUUUGUCCUGGCGCCGUUCUGCUAUAGCGUUUUUGUAUCCUUGUAAAACAUAUUGCUCCAGUCUUGGUAUUUUACUCCUCCUCGAACCGAAGAUUCAUUUAUUCCGUACUGGCGCCCUACAUCCUCUACUUUUACCUUCCUUCAGCAUCUCCAGAAGUCCAACUUUGUGUGCCAUGGUUGCCUUCCUCUGCCUUUUGGGUGCAGAACGUUUCAUUGUGGGUUUUGUCGGGGGUUAAACCUGCAAACAGACAGCGUUUAGAGUCACAUGGCUAGCUUCUUCUUCUUCUUCUAUUGUUUAUUAUCAUUAUUGGCAAGCAGCUCACAUGGUUAGCUAGUUUGCUAGCGUUGACCACAACAGGAGAUUGAUUGACAAUGGUCUACAGCCAAUCAGGACGCAGAAUGGGCGGUGCAGACAGGAGAGAGAGACACAGCCACCUAGGGCUAAAGCACAGAAGUACAACACUCGACUUCCCACAAUGCAGUCCUUCUUAAAGGGCCAGGCUCGGCCUGUAACAGCGCUCAUAAACUGUGAAAAAAAAAUGCACAAAAAAAAAUUUGCAAAACAUCGAGGCCACAAAAGGUGAGGAGCACUGUACCUAAUGUUGUAUGAAGUCAUGACCGUGUCAGUAGACCUGUUUCUCAUUUCACAUGUACCUAUCUAGUGCAUGUUACCAGGGCAACCAAGUGUCCUUCACUACAUCAUCCCCUGCAGUGUUUCAAGCAGGUGGGCGGAGCCUACCGAGUACACUUAAGUCACAGCAGAGUGGAAUCUUCUCAGAGUAACAGGACUCUUGAUCAAGCGAGCGGCAACAAGAA
Molecule: long non-coding RNA, 6841 nt
Organism: Dunckerocampus dactyliophorus (ringed pipefish)
Lineage: Eukaryota; Metazoa; Chordata; Actinopteri; Syngnathiformes; Syngnathidae
Exons: 5
Source: RefSeq, a predicted model, not a curated record